AACGAACGCUGGCGGCAUGCCUAACACAUGCAAGUCGAACGAGACCUUCGGGUCUAGUGGCGCACGGGUGCGUAACGCGUGGGAACCUGCCCUUAGGUUCGGAAUAACUCCCCGAAAGGGGUGCUAAUACCGGAUAAUGUCUUCGGACCAAAGAUUUAUCGCCUUUGGAUGGGCCCGAGUUGGAUUAGCUAGUUGGUAGGGUAAAAGCCUACCAAGGCGACGAUCCAUAGCUGGUCUGAGAGGAUGAUCAGCCACACUGGGACUGAGAAACGGCCCAGACUCCUACGGGAGGCAGCAGUGGGGAAUAUUGGACAAUGGGCGAAAGCCUGAUCCAGCAAUGCCGCGUGAGUGAUGAAGGCCUUAGGGUUGUAAAGCUCUUUUACCCGGGAUGAUAAUGACAGUACCGGGAGAAUAAGCCCCGGCUAACUCCGUG
RNAcentral lists this ribosomal RNA (433 nucleotides) under uncultured bacterium. RNAcentral describes it as "partial 16S ribosomal RNA". It matches the Rfam family "Bacterial small subunit ribosomal RNA", at positions 29 to 507 of the family's 1533-position model. The record is from RNAcentral.